GGGCCAGUAUUUAGCAUUUGAAUACAUAGC
Molecule: non-coding RNA, 30 nt
Filed under: Rattus norvegicus (Norway rat)
Lineage: Eukaryota; Metazoa; Chordata; Mammalia; Rodentia; Muridae
Source: RNAcentral